RNAcentral lists this long non-coding RNA (3116 nucleotides) under Sus scrofa (pig). RNAcentral describes it as "lncRNA (ENSSSCG00000062408.1)". Lineage: Eukaryota; Metazoa; Chordata; Mammalia; Artiodactyla; Suidae. The record is from RNAcentral.
GGCAUGUGGAGGUUCCUGGGCCAGGGAUCAAACCCAUGCCCCAGAGGUGACCUGAGCCACAGCAGUGACAACACUGGAUCCUUAACCUGCUGAGCCACCAAGGAACUCCUAUCUUAGUGUAUUUUUAUAGCUCAUUUCAUCACCAAAAGAUGCUGAAUAAGAGAAAAGGAGUAUAGAAGCAUUUCAAAAUUUCUUCUACUUAAGAUAAUUGUCAUAUGUGUUUCUGUCAUCCUCUGACACAUUAAUGCACACAGUAGAUGCUCAACCAAUAUUUGUUUGGAUAUGAUCAAGUUAGUUUCCCUCCUGACAUCCUUUUGGGCAUUCCAUUCCCAGUCUUCCUAAAUUUGCUUUGCAGGCUCCUCUUAAUUUCUCAAUCCCUUUGAGGAUAUUGUUCUCAGGGAUUUUAUCUUAGGGCUUCCUGGCCCUGAUCUGGUUACUCCCUGGGUUUUCACCCCCCACCCCCAACAGCUCUGAAUAUCCUGGCUCCCUCCUGAACACUUGUUAAAUGCCUAGCCAAACCAGGCAUUCAGCUGUUUUAUGAUGAACAACAUAAACAUUGUUUCUACCUCCAAUGGAAUUUAUAUACAAAGGAGGAAAGAAUAUAACAAGUAACUAAGCAAACAAUAUAAUUUUAAGUUGUAAUAUAUGCUGUGAAGGGGAGUUCCCAUGGCAGCUAAGUGGAAAUGAAUCUGACUAGCAUUCAUGAGAGCACAGGUGUAAUCCCUGGUCUUGCUUAGUGGGUUAAGGAUCUGGCAUUGCUGUGAGCUGUGCUGUAGGUCACAGACUCGACUCUGAUCCUGUGUUGCUGUGGCUGUAGUGUAGGAAUAUGGCUACAGCUCCAAUUUGACCCCUAGCCUGGGAACUUCCACAUGCAGUGAGUGGGCAGUCUCCCAGGAGACCCAGGAGGAGGAGGAAGAGGAGGAGGAGGAGGAGGAGGAGGGAGGAGAGGCUCUUGAUGGAGGAAAUGACAGCACAAACACCCAGGGUGGGAAGGGUUUGACUGGGCUCAGGAAGCUAAAGACUUGAGGAUCUGCAGCAAAAUAAGAAAAGGGAAGAAAAGUGGGGGUCUGCAUCCUUCAGGGACUUUGUAAGCCGUGGUAUUUGCAUUUUAUCUUAAGGACAAAUGAGCAACAGCUGCUGAACGGGAAAUAAAAUAGUUUAAGAAAAUCAUUUUUCUCAUCGUGGAAAAUAACAUACUGUCUUUUCUAUCAAAGGAAAUCUUGGUUACUCCAUUUUGCUCUGGUUUCCACUGAAGCACCUUCCUGCAACCCUGUCCUCUUUCCCUCCUCUCCCAGUAACAAUGUUUCAAAUUAGCCAACCAAGAAGAAUGUGUACCCUGACCUGACAAAUGGGAAGGGGACAGGUGGUACAUCACCUGUGUUCGGGAUAAAUAGGGAGGGUCUUCUCUUCUUUGCGUGCGCUUUUUGAGUACCCGCACCCUUCAGCAGAAGUAAAGAGCCUUGUUGAGAUCGCCCCGUGUUCAUGUGUCUCAUUUUCCGACACAGACGAUUUGAGCCAUCUCCCCAACACUAUUCUGUGGGGAAUGGAUUGGAGGGAAACCUACAAUAGAAUUGGGAGGAGGUUAAGACUUGAGGUGUCCUGUCCUACUAAAUGGUGGAUAGUGACAAUGUAGACAAUGAUGAGAACAGUAGAAAUGAGUAGAUCAGAGAUGCAGAAAUAGAAUUGAGAAGACUUGAAUCACAACAUGCCAUUCAGCUUUCAUAAAUUGUUGACAGUGUCCAAGCAAAGAUAUAAGGCCAUUAUUAAAGCCUAAUAUAUGCUAUGGUGCUGAAUUUUAUAGGCACACAGGCAUAAAGUUCCAUAACUCACAUAAUCAUUUUCAUUAGCAAUAUAUUUGUAGGAAAUAAACCAGAAGCAUAAAAUAAACAAACGUCCUCAAAUUAUACUUGGUGAAAGGCACUAUUUUUUUUAAACAGCUAUUUAUUUAUUUAUUUAUUUAUUUAUUUAUUUAUGUCUUUGCCAUUUCUUGAGCCGCUCUCGCGGCAUAUGGAAGUUCCCAGGCUAGGGGUCCAAUCGGAAAUAAAGCAUAAAAUAAACAAAGGUCCUCAAAUUAUACUUGGUGAAAGGCACUAUUUUUUUUUAACAGUUAUUUAUGUAUUUAUUUAUUUAUUUAUUUAUGUCUUUUUGCCAUUUCUUGGGCCGCUCUCAUGGCAUAUGGAAGUUCCCAGGCUAGGGGUCCAAUUGGAGCUGUGGCCACCGGCCUACUACAGAGCCACAGCAAUGUGGGAUCCGAGCCACGUCUGCAGCCUACACCACUGCUCACGGCAAUGCCAGAUCGUUAACCCACUGAGUGAGGCCAGGGAUCGAACCCGCAACCUCAUGGUUCCUAGUCAGAUUCAUUAACCACUGUGCCACAACAGGAACUCUAAAAGGCACUAUUUUUGAGAAUUUAGGAAUAUAGAGGAGUGGGAAUGGAACUGAGCAGGAUCCUAUGAGGCUCCUGGACACAGAUACACAUAAUAUCUCUGAGCUUUUCUGCAGAACUAAAACCCCCAACAAAUGGAAGAUGUUAACUACUUGAUAAAGCAUUCUUCAUUUCAGAGAGAAGGUCACAGUUUGAUAACCUUGAACCAUAGAAGCUCAUUAGGAGACCCUCCUCAGCCAGAUUAAAGGAAUACGGGCCCUGCAUACACCCUGAUCCUUAUCAGCAAUCCUGCCCUUGGAUGAGUGCUGUAAAAUUCCUCAUCAAAUCCUCUGGGUUGGGACACUCGGUUUAUGAGCCCGGGUUUGGGCAAUGAGAAUGCCUAAAAAUUGUAUGUUAAAGUUUUCAUAGAACAAUCAAACUCCUGAUAACUAUAAUAGUAAGAAAAGCUAAUACUUCCAUUCUUAUUGGAAUUCCCAUCGUGGCUCAGAAGAAGUGAAUCUGAAUAGCAUCCAUGAGGAUUGGGGUUCAAUCCCUGGCUUUGCUCGGUGGGUUAAGGAUCUGGUGUUGCCAAGAGAGCUGUGGUGUAGGUCGCAGAUGUGGCUAGGAUCUUGCAUUGCUGUGGCUUCGACAUAGACUGGCAGCUACAGCUCUGAUUCAACCCCUAGCCUGGGAACUUCCAUAUGCUUUGGGUGCAGCCCUAAGAAGACAGAAAAAAAAAAAAAAAAAAAAA